AUGGAAGACAUUCAGCACAAGUCUGAAAGGCACAUGAUGGACUAUACAUUGCGAAGGGCAGUAACAGAAGGCAAUGUACAGCGAUUUAAUGAACUUUUGCAAGAUGAAAACCAGCCACCUCCAAGGACAUCCAGGCUUCUCCAAGGAGUGACAUCUGAUUGGGACGGAGUGCUCCAUAUUGCAGCAAGACUAGAGCAUGUUGAACUAGUGCGUGCCAUUUCCGAUGGAUGGGCCAUGUUAGUGGAUGUAGCAGCCAAGAACAGGAGAGGGGAGACUCCCUUGCACUGUGCGGCUGCCACCGAGGAACCCGAGAUGAUCAAUCUUCUCAUACUGAUGUCUGGAAGCCAUGAGAAGCAAAUGGAACUUGUCAGUGAAAGAAAGUGCAACGGGGAAACAUGUUUACACGACGCUGUUCGGCGGGGGAACAGACAAGUUGCGAGUAGAUUGAUCGCGGCAGAUGUCAGCGUGCAAUACAUUAGGGACAGACACAGAUGCCGUGCUCUAGUGCAAAUAGAGGAUAACGAAGGUGUUUCUCCUCUAUAUUUGGCUACAACUCUAGGCAACCUUGAAAUGGUUCAGCUCCUCACUGAAAGGCCACAAGAUCACAGGUAUGCAGCAUCCUGUGCUGGGCCUGAAAAGAAGACAGCUCUGCAUGCUGCAGUUCUUCUUCGAUACCGCAGCACAGAGCUCAGUCAACAUCUCGUGGUGUGGAAUCCUAACCUCAUAAAGAAGACUGAUCUAUAUGGGAACACGCCACUUCACCUUUUGGCAUCAAGCUGGACUACCAGGCAGCCAGCUACUGCAAAACUUCUGUUGGAUAGGGACGCAAGCGCUGGAUACCUCUGGGAUGCCGAGGGAGCACUACCCAUACAUGUCGCAGCUGCUAAUGGAUGUCUUGACAUGAUCAAGCUGUUGCUAGAGCAUUGUCCCGAUUGCUAUUGGCCAUGCAGUAACUUUGGCCAGACCAUCCUCCACAUUGCUGUCCAGCAAAAAAAUUACAAUGUAGUAAGGUAUGUAUGCUCAGGGCAAAGGUUCCUAGGAAUUCUUAACACCAGAGAUGCAGAUGGGAAUACGGCUCUUCAUUUGGCUGUAUUGAAAGGAAAUGUGUCCAUCUUCCGAGUGUUACUGGGGAUGAGGCAAAUCUUUUUGAGUCCCAGAAAUAAGGAGGAGCGCACGCCUCUAGAUCUUGCAUCCUUGGGCAUCCCACCUGGCGUGUCAUUUACACAGCCCCGGCAAUGGAUUGCGAAUGACCUUGUACUUGCUAAGGCUGAAUAUGGCACUGGUCGGUGGGAUCAUUUUUCUACCAACUUCACAACAGCUGACAGGGAGAAGAAUUCCGAAGCAAUUAGCAAGUCAGCCGGGCUCAUGGCCGUCUGUGCUGUGCUUAUCCUGAACGUAGCAUUUGCGGCCCCUUUCAACGUUUCGAAAUUCUACAUCGAUUCCAGCAACGCGAGCAGCACACUUGGGAGAGCAAAGAUGCACGUGUACAAAGCGUUCAUGGUCUCGGACGCCUUAGCGUUUGUCUUCUCGGCGGCAGCGACGUCUUGCUGCACAUUGGCAGGCAUUUCUGUAGCGGACAGGAAUACACGCUUCACCCACCUUGCAGUUGGAUGGCUGUUACUCGAGCUUGCCGCGCUGUGUAUGCUCGCCGUCUUUAUGUCGGGGGUCUAUGUGGUCGCUUCUCCAGUUGGUUUCAGGUUUGCCAUCACUGCCUGUGCAUUUGCCAUUCUAGCCACUUUACCACACUUCACAAUGUCCGCCAUGCUGUUUCUUAGCGUAAGGACCUUGAUCAAAAGGGUUGGUGUCCGAACAUGGUGCCGCACCUUGCUUCCGAGCCUACGUGGAAUGAGAUUAAUAAGGAUAAUUGUUAUGUUGGUAGUCUCCGCGACUAUUAUAGGAUUAUCAUUCCUUUAA
This 1914-nucleotide ribosomal RNA is filed under the name Triticum aestivum (bread wheat). RNAcentral describes it as "partial small subunit ribosomal RNA". The record is from RNAcentral. Lineage: Eukaryota; Viridiplantae; Streptophyta; Magnoliopsida; Poales; Poaceae.